GUUCGAAUCAAAUCUGAACAUGAAAGACUCAUUAUGCUUUAUGAAAAUCCUUUGAAAAACCAUGCAAUCCUUAAGACGUGGUAUUCAUCCUAAAUGAAAUUACAAUUAUUAAUCACAAGAAGCCAGCGUCAAUUUCAGGGAACAUUCCGACCAAAAUUGCAUCAAAUUACUUUUCUAAAGAUCCUAAUAGUGAUCAGGCAUUAAGACAAUUAGAUAGUUUUUAUCCCUGUGAUUAACAAUUCAAAGUAUGCAUGCAAUCAAUCAUAAGCAAUUAAAUAAAAAUCACAUAUUCAUGCUAAGGCUCAAGGCUUCGCCCUAGCAAUAGAAAUUAGUUACUCAUAUUCAUAAUUAAAACCAUAGAAAAUAUAUUUAAGAAAAUGAUUGAAAGCACCUUCAAGUAGAAAAUCUUCAAAACCCUAGCAAUUCUCUCCGUCUCCAAAAUUGCAUAGAACGCUUACCGAAAAAAAAUGUGGUAGACGGCUCAGCAAUAUAUUUUCUAAACCACCACACAAACCCUAAUCCCCAUAAAAAAAAAAAAAAACAUAACCCUAAAUUAAAAUGGUAAAAUUCGUCUAAAAUCUAAACAGCCACGUUUUAGACCCAUAAGCUGCUCCAAAACUGGCCCAAUAUAGCUGGAUUUAAUAUUUGGAAUAUUCUGAACACUUCUCCAGAAUGCCACGAACCCAUCUGAGGUCAUCUUAAGCUCCAAAAACGCAAUUUAAGCCCAAAAACGUCAUUUUCCAGCACUGCGCAUCGCUCCUUUAUUUUAUCGCCAGAAAAUAACCGCUUGGUGGAAAAAUCCCAAAUUUUGAUACGAUCAAGCUAAGUGACUUACGAACGUCCUCCAACUGAAAUUACUUCAAAAUUUGUCCAUUUGGUCCUGUUUUACUCCAGAGGAAGUUGAAAGUUCUAUAUUGAAAAUACAAUUCAAAGUAUCAAAAUUCUUUCAAAAUAUUAACCAAAAUAUACUAAGAUUAGGGUAAAAUAUAUAAUAUAAAAUCUACUCAUCAAAAUACCCCUAAACUUAGCUUUUUGUUUGUCCUCAAGCAAAACAAAACUAGAAAACAAAAAUAAAAACUUAACAAACUAAACAACUAGCUAAAAUUAGCUAACAAAAAUUUUCACCUUCAAAGUUGCAGUCCAUAGCAAAUUUUAAAAACUAGAACAUAUUUUCAAAAGUUCCAACCAAUCCCACCACAGAGUCUAAGCCAUUUAGAAUCAAUUAGAAAAUAAUUCACAAACUUCCCUUGGUGUAAAGUGAACCAACAUAGUUAAGGAGACUCGACUAAAACCCUUACCUCUCGUCCUUCUUUAUUUCACACAUACUAACUUUAAAUAUAACUAUUUUUCAUUUUCUUUUUCUCUUCAAUUUUUUCUCUUUCUUUUUUUUUCAUAUAUAACAAUUUUUUUUUCAGUAACAGUAGUGGUCGUGCAAUGUCGGUUCACUUAAGAUUUUGAUCCAACCCAUGUAGCGAGCUUUAGGUCAAUGACUCCCAAACCACUAGGGUUUUAGGGCACUAGGUGUAGAACACCCCUAAGUACUUAUUAACCCGAGCUAAAAAGGCUACGAAACUAACUAACCACUCUGCCCCAUGCCAAAACUUUAACGUUUGACGCGAGAAUCACUGCUGAUUAGGCAAAACUGGCCUGGUUACUAGGCAAACCUUCGGGUGAGACAAUUAUUACUUUAUAACACAAUAAUAACUGACUUUACUUAAAACAAAAAUUAAAAAUAAACUUAGACUAAAAGCAAGAGUUUCAAUCUCACUCCCCACAAACCAUGUUGGUGUGAUGUGCAAAGUUCAAAGUAUAAUUCAUGAAUUAGUGUCUAAGCAAAGAUAAAUAGAAAAGACUUUACUAUGGGAUUAACCUUCACCAUGUCCAUUUGUUUUAACGUUUAAAAUAAUCUAUGAAUAUUAACUUCAAAAGAAUGAAAAAUUUUAACUGACAUAAAAAUUAAAAUCCUAAAAUGUUAUUUCCCACCCCCAAACUUAUUUCACACUUUGUCGUCAAGGUGUGGAAAAAUAAAAGAAAAUAAAGCAACAACUUUACAAAGAAAGUUAAAUAAUAAAACGGACACUAACUAAACCUAUGAAUAAUUAACCAAAUAGGACAAAGAAAUGACAAAAACGACAUGACAAGGAACAAAAGAAAUAACAUAAAAAAAAUGAGAAAGGAAUGCACCUGGUAGAAGUGGAAUCCAUUGUGGCCUGACAAACUGUGGGCCUGGGAAGGAUGACACACGAAGAUAACUCAAAAUCAUUUGGAAUGAAGCCC
RNAcentral lists this long non-coding RNA (2277 nucleotides) under Malus domestica (apple). Its description in RNAcentral is "long non-coding RNA (MDOM_LNC021009)". Lineage: Eukaryota; Viridiplantae; Streptophyta; Magnoliopsida; Rosales; Rosaceae. The record is from RNAcentral.